AGGAUUGUGGCUCAGUGGCAGAGCGCUUGCCUUGCAUGUAUGAAGUACUGGAUUCGAUCCUU
Molecule: transfer RNA, 62 nt
Filed under: Ictidomys tridecemlineatus (thirteen-lined ground squirrel)
Lineage: Eukaryota; Metazoa; Chordata; Mammalia; Rodentia; Sciuridae
Description: Spermophilus tridecemlineatus (thirteen-lined ground squirrel) tRNA
Rfam family: tRNA
About the family: Transfer RNA (tRNA) molecules are approximately 80 nucleotides in length.
Source: Rfam by way of RNAcentral